AUACGUAGGUGGCAAGCGUUAUCCGGAUUUAUUGGGCGUAAAGCGAGCGCAGGCGGUUGUCUUAGGUCUGAUGUGAAAGCCUUCGGCUUAACCGAAGAAGUGCAUCGGAAACCGGGCGACUUGAGUGCAGAAGAGGACAGUGGAACUCCAUGUGUAGCGGUGGAAUACGUAGAUAUAUGGAAGAACACCAGUGGCGAAGGCGGCUGUCUGGUCUGCAACUGACGCUGAGGCUCGAAAGCAUGGGUAGC
Molecule: ribosomal RNA, 248 nt
Filed under: uncultured bacterium
Lineage: Bacteria
Description: partial 16S ribosomal RNA
Rfam family: Bacterial small subunit ribosomal RNA
Source: RNAcentral